UCCUCAGAGAGGUGAUGCUGACCUGGGAUGGGAAGGAAGAGAGAGGGUAAGCCAGGUAAAGGGGAGAUGGCAGGAAUGCUCCUGGCAGCAGGAAUAGCAUGUGCAAAGGCCCUGAGGCCAGAAAGCACAGGGAUCGCUGGGGAAGAGAAAGAGUGAAUAUGGCUGGAAUGUCAGUGUGGUGUGAGAUGACACCAGGCAGGAGGCAGGGUCUGGUCAGGUAGGACUUUGCAGCCUGGGGGAAAGAGGAGAAUUUUUAAGAUCCCAAUCCUGUGUUCCCCACCUGUGGGCCCCAGCUCCUCUCCCCUCUGACCAGGUUAGGUUUGUUAAUGACCAUGGGGUCUGGCCGAGGCCGAGAGGGUUGCCUAGGGAAGCUUGUGUCCUGGGGUGUCAGCUUUCUGGGUCGAGCAUCUCUUUGUCCCCUGGAAACCUGUCAACAGACCCUCUACGGGCCCAGGUCUGGCUUUAUUCAGCAGCUGUUCCUUAGCUGGGAAGAGGCUUUUAGCUUUAAUAAAAAAGGGACUAGAGAUAAGAAGACUGCCUCGUCAGGGAGAGCAGCAGUGACAGGAUGAUUUAAACGGCUUCUCUAGUGUCAUUUCUUCUGUGCAGACAUCAUAAAUCAGAUUAGCAUUGAGCUCUGGCAGGGAGGGGAGCAGGGAGAGGGGAGACGGGCCUGUGACUCUGGGUCCACCUGGCACAGGCCUGGAGCAGGUGGGGCAGCCCCAGAGGAGGCGGUGGGGUCGCCUGCUCCUGAUCCUCAGCCCCCCCACCCUGUUCUUUGGAGAAGGGGUGAGUGGAAUGACUCCCCCAGCCCAGCUUUUCAGCCCAUUCUCAGCUUUGGGGGAAAAAUGGAGAAGGACUGAUAAAAGGGUAUAGAGGAGAGAAAUGGGGGACAAGUGGAGGGGCGGGUGUGGGAGGUGGAGAGUGCAGUUCUCCUACCUAAUCACAUGUUCACAUCACCUCGAACUUUAAAAAAUACUGGUGCCUUGUACCACCCACAUGGUUUCAUGGUUCUAAGGUGCAGCUAAAGUUAAGAAAUCUUAAACUCAAAAAGUAUGUCCUCUCAAACAAUCACUCCCACCACAACCGCUCCGGUCCACCGAUUUUUCUCUGGCCUCCCCUUAAAAGUGACCACAUUGAGAGACCAGAUGGAGGUCCCUGAGAUAGAUGUGAGUGGAGAGGAGCUCCCACCUGCCCCGCUUCUCUUUCAGAUAUCACGCCACCUGGGCAAGAUGUAUAGUGAGAUGAUCUUCGUCAAUGGCUUCGUGCACUGCGAUCCCCACCCCGGCAAUGUACUGGUGCGGAAGCACCCCAGCACGGGAAAGGCGGAGAUUGUCCUGUUGGACCAUGGGCUUUACCAGGUGCUCACAGAAGAAUUCCGCCUGAAUUACUGCCACCUCUGGCAGUCUCUGAUCUGGACUGACAUGAAGAGAGUGAAGGAGUACAGCCAGCGCCUGGGAGCCGGGGAUCUCUACCCCUUGUUUGCCUGCAUGCUGACGGCGCGGUCAUGGGACUCGGUCAACAGAGGCAUCAGCCAAGCUCCCGUCACUGCCACUGAGGACUUAGAGAUUCGCAACAACGCAGCCAACUACCUCCCCCAGAUCAGCCAUCUCCUCAACCACGUGCCGCGCCAGAUGCUGCUCAUCUUGAAGACCAACGACCUGCUGCGUGGCAUUGAGGCUGCCCUGGGCACCCGUGCCAGCGCCAGCUCCUUUCUCAACAUGUCACGUUGCUGCAUCAGAGCGCUAGCUGAGCACAAGAAGAAGAAUACCUGUUCAUUCUUUAGAAGGACCCAGAUCUCUUUCAGCGAGGCCUUCAACUUAUGGCAGAUCAACCUCCAUGAGCUCAUCCUGCGUGUGAAGGGGUUGAAGCUGGCCAACCGGGUCUUGGCCCUAAUAUGCUGGCUGUUCCCUGCUCCACUCUGAGUGGAAUUGCUCUCCCUGCCCCAUUCUGGUGUCUUUCCACUCCUCAGCCCCUCGUCUUGCCUCCACCCAGCUGCUCCAUUUUUGCCACAUCGUGGCCCGCAGCCCCAGAGUCACUGUCCAUGUCACCAUCCUCCUCCUCCUUUGGAAUCCUCUCCGCACACUGUGGCCCUUGUCUCAGGGCCCACAAGCUGAACUGUGGCAUAGCUCUCUCUUCUUCUCCAAGAAGACUCAGCAGCCUACAUUCCCAUUCCUGGUAUGUGCCAUUGGGUUGGAUGUCCCCGCUACUUCCAUUAACCCUUCCCAUUGUCAAGAUGUGCCACGGGUGCCACUGGGGGCACACUGAACUUGUAGGGAGUGUGAUUUUGUUGGAGGUGAACAUGGUCUCUGAACUUGACAGAGAACACCUUCCCUUUCCUUGCCAUGUCACCCUCCAGAGGAAGUCACACCUCAGCGAGGUGGUUUGGCAUCCGGGGCCAACUCCAUUACAGCUAUGAGCUCACUGCUGUCAGUGACCUUUGGUGUUCUCUGUACUGUGUUUCAAUAAAAACUCCUUCAAGGUUGCAGGGUUUGUCCAUCAUAACUCACUGGCCUCCCACCUGACCCCAGGCACGUGCCCUUCCAGAGUGUGCUCAUGGUCCUCGCCAAGGGCUUAUGGUUCCUCUUGGUUGCUGCUUCCUCAGGGUUUCCCAGGGAGAUCUAGGGAACAGAAGGCCAGGGGCUGUUUGGUGGGAUUUUUCUUCUAGGUUGGGAGUUCACCUACAAUGCCCAUUAGGUCAGAGUGGACCUGAAUUGAGUAUUGGUGUGAUCUUCUGCUUGGCUUCUUGCUCCUGUAAUCCUUCCAACCUGUGGGGCCACUUCCUGCUUCCUGGGGGUUUCUCUCACCUUCCAAGACUCAGACUCUGGUUGGAGGAGUUAAGAAGCCCAAGGCCAGGAACUCAGAGGCUCAGCUGAAACCUUGGACCUUGUUUUUCUGUGACCUGGGCACCAACCUUGUUCUACUGUUUCCUGACUUAUUCCUUUGGUUCUCAUUCAGUGGCCCCAGUUUUAGGCCUGGAAUUCUACUUCUCUCUCCCCAGUUCUUCUGGAGACCUUAGUCCUCUUGCUGAAACCUCCGUCACUGUGGCUAGGUUUUCACUGGGAAACUUCUGUGUUUCUACCCCAUUGCUUGCUGCCAGCACUGCCUCUCCCCCCAGCCUGAUUGUCUGCUUCUGUUUCUUGGACAUCCCUAAGCUCCUGCUCUAAUUCCCAUGUCUUUGUCUUUGGCAGGUCCUACUGUCUGCUUUCACGGACAGUAAUUGUAUUUGAGCCUCUCUGAUCUUACUUCACCCAAUUCACAAGGGCAGAAAAAAUCCUGAAUUUGAGCCUAAUUUUCUGUACUCUUUAUUCAUAGUACAGCAAGAAGAUUUUUCAGUGAUCAGCGACAAUUCACAAUCCUUUUAUUUCCCGAAAGAAUUAAUUGUUCUUAGUGACCAGUUGGAUGCACCCAGGGACCUGAGAGUAUAAUUUGCAAUAUCUGAUUAUUAAUCAUGAGGAUGUGUGCUGCAUAGUAUAUUUUAUGGUGUCUUUUAUAGCCACUGAAGUAAAUAUAAAUGUCCUUUCUGUUC
RNAcentral lists this small RNA (3526 nucleotides) under Pongo abelii (Sumatran orangutan). RNAcentral's name for it is "retained intron". The record is from RNAcentral. Lineage: Eukaryota; Metazoa; Chordata; Mammalia; Primates; Hominidae.